This 984-nucleotide long non-coding RNA is filed under the name Ananas comosus (pineapple). Its description in RNAcentral is "long non-coding RNA (ACOM_LNC002285)". The record is from RNAcentral. Lineage: Eukaryota; Viridiplantae; Streptophyta; Magnoliopsida; Poales; Bromeliaceae.
CUUCAGAGUAUUUAUUUAAAUCAUAUUAAUUAAUAUAUUUAAUAAUAUUAUUUGAUAAUUGAAACUAAAUUUAAUAAUUUAGUAGCAAUUUAUUAUUAAAAUUGUGAAAUGGGAUAAAUUAGCAGCAUAAAUGCCACUGAAGUUUUCAACAUUUUACAAAAAAUGAUACUAAAUGUAAUAAAAUAGCAGUGCUUAUUGCUAAAUUUCAUAACAUUACUCCACAGUAUUUAUUUAAAUCAUAUUAAUUAAUAUAUUUAAUAGCAUUACUUGAUAAUCGUUGCUAGAUUUAGUAACUUAGCAGCAAUUUACUAUUAAUAUUAAAAAUGUGCGAACUGAGAAUUUGGCUGUGUAGCUAAACUCUCUUUUAAUGAUAUUUUUAUAUGUAUUUUUAAUUACAAAAAUACCCGUCAAGUUUCGGAGGAAAACGAGUUAGAAUAAAGAUUUUACGCGAUCUUUACUUUUCACUUAAAGUGAAUAGUAAUCCGAGUUUCUCGGAGAGGCAAAUGAUUAGAGAUAGCUUCUGGUGCGUAUCGAACUCCGUUCAUGGUGAUCCAAUAGCUCGUUUGCAAUGGUCCGACUAUCCUUCAACCAACGGCGCUAACAGAUUUUAGGUUUGACGCACGGAUUUCAAGAAAACUAGAUUUUAUCGCAAAGUAGACUUUUGUUCUUUAUCAUUUUUGCUUUUUGAAACUUCUCGUUGCUCCGUUUUACGUGUGGACUCUCGGGUGAGGACCCUUCUGUGAGAAAAUAUUUAUGUCAAGGGACUUUGGCUGCAUUUUCGCUGAUUGGAGAUUUUGGAGGCAAUUAUUGAAUAUAUACAUUUACUUGUACGUGUGUGGUUUCGCUAAAUCGAAGAGUGGAUGGGUUUCGUCGCGAAUCUGUGAUCAAAUCAGGUGAAAUAAAAUUGUGGGUUUGAUAUCUCUGUCGCGCUGAACGUGUGGUACAGUCCGUUUGCAAAUCUGACCGACGGAUCUCCAUAUAUCG